This 292-nucleotide ribosomal RNA is filed under the name uncultured bacterium. RNAcentral's name for it is "partial 16S ribosomal RNA". It matches the Rfam family "Bacterial small subunit ribosomal RNA", at positions 505 to 796 of the family's 1533-position model. The record is from RNAcentral.
GUGGGAGCUGACGGGGUAAUAUGGAGGAUGCAAGCGUUAUCCGGAUUCAUUGGGUUUAAAGCGUGCGCAGGCGGAUGGGUAAGUCAGAGGUGAAAGCCUGCAGCUUAACUGUGGAAUUGCCUUUGAUACUGUCCAUCUUGAGUCCAGCUGAAGUAGGCGGAAUGUAGUAUGUAGCGGUGAAAUGCUUAGAUAUACUACAGAACACCCAUUGCGAAGGCAGCUUACUAAACUGGUACUGACGCUCAGGCACGAAAGCGUGGGGAGCAAACAGGAUUAGAUACCCGUGUAGUCC